CAGUCCACGCCGUAAACGAUGAUUACUCGCUGUAGGCGAUACACAGUCUGUGGCUAAGCGAAAGUUUUAAGUAAUCCACCUGGGGAGUACGAUCGCAAGAUUGAAACUCAAAGGAAUUGACGGGGGCCCGCACAAGCGGAGGAACAUGUGGUUUAAUUCGAUGAUACGCGAGGAACCUUACCUGGACUUAAAUGUACGUUGCAUAGAUUGGAGACAGUCUUUUCUUCGGACUACGUACAAGGUGCUGCAUGGUUGUCGUCAGCUCGUGCCGUGAGGUGUCGGGUUAAGUCCCAUAACGAGCGCAACCCCUAUCCUUAGUUGCCAGCGGGUGAUGCCGGGGACUCUGAGGAGACUGCCACCGUAAGGUGUGAGGAAGGUGGGGAUGACGUCAAAUCAGCACGGCCCUUAUGUCCAGGGCUGCACACGUCCUACAAUGCAACGUACAAAGCGAAGCGAAAUCGCGAGAUCAAGCAAACCGCACAAAACGUUGCUCAGUUCGGAUUGC
Molecule: ribosomal RNA, 505 nt
Filed under: uncultured bacterium
Lineage: Bacteria
Description: bacterial SSU rRNA
Rfam family: Bacterial small subunit ribosomal RNA
Source: RNAcentral